This 347-nucleotide long non-coding RNA is filed under the name Nicotiana tabacum (common tobacco). Its description in RNAcentral is "long non-coding RNA (NTAB_LNC003249)". Lineage: Eukaryota; Viridiplantae; Streptophyta; Magnoliopsida; Solanales; Solanaceae. The record is from RNAcentral.
GGAGCUUAUGGGGACAACGGGUCAUUUAUGUAUCAGCAUGGCUAUGGUUAUGCACCCUAUAGUCCAUAUUCACCUGCUACUUCCCCUGUCCCGACUGUGGGGCAUGACGGCCAGCUUUAUGGAGCACAACACUACCACUAUCCAUAUUUCCAGCCCCUCCCUCCAACCAGUACUCCAUACACUACUCCAGUUGCCCCGCCAAAAGGUGAGAUCGCCACCUCUGCUGCUGCUGACCAAGCACCAUUGUCUGUGGAUUCUGCUAAUGGAAAUUCUAAUGGCGUUGCAAAUGGUGGUGUAAAGGGAAAUACCGCGCCUACGCCUGUGAGGCCUGCAUUCCAGAAUUCNNN